This 497-nucleotide ribosomal RNA is filed under the name uncultured bacterium. Its description in RNAcentral is "partial 16S ribosomal RNA". It matches the Rfam family "Bacterial small subunit ribosomal RNA", at positions 28 to 507 of the family's 1533-position model. The record is from RNAcentral.
GACGAACGCUGGCGGCGUGCCUAAUACAUGCAAGUUGAGCGCUGAAGGUUGGUUCUUGUACCAACUGGAUGAGCAGCGCACGGGUGAGUAACGCGUGGGGAAUCUGCCUUUGAGCGGGGGACAACAUUUGGAAACGAAUGCUAAUACCGCAUAAAAACUUUAAACACAAGUUUUAAGUUUGAAAGAUGCAAUUGCAUCACUCAAAGAUGAUCCCGCGUUGUAUUAGCUAGUUGGUGAGGUAAAGGCUCACCAAGGCGAUGAUACAUAGCCGACCUGAGAGGGUGAUCGGCCACAUUGGGACUGAGACACGGCACAAACGCCUAGGGGAGGCAGCAGGAGGGAAUCGUCGGCAAGGGACGAAAGUCUGAGCGAGCAACGCCGCGGGAGGGAAGAAGGGUGUCGGAUCGGAAAACUCGGUUGGUAGAGAAGAACGUUGGUGAGAGUGGAAAGCUCAUCAAGUGACGGUAACUACCCAGAAAGGGACGGCUAACUACGUG